UGCCAGCCUCCGCGGUACUCCUGAUUGAGCGAGCGUUAAUCGGAAUUACUGGGCGUAAAGCGCGCGUAGGCGGCUUUGUCAGUCGGAUGUGAAAGCCCUGGGCUUAACCUGGGAAUGGCAUUCGAUACUGCAGAGCUAGAGUAUGGUAGAGGGAAGUGGAAUUUCCGGUGUAGCGGUGAAAUGCGUAGAUAUCGGAAGGAACACCAGUGGCGAAGGCGACUUCCUGGGCCAAUACUGACGCUGAGGUGCGAAAGCGUGGGGAGCAAACAGGAUUAGAUA
This 279-nucleotide ribosomal RNA is filed under the name uncultured bacterium. Its description in RNAcentral is "partial 16S ribosomal RNA". It matches the Rfam family "Bacterial small subunit ribosomal RNA", at positions 506 to 784 of the family's 1533-position model. The record is from RNAcentral.